ACUUGGGAUAGCUCAGUUGGUAAAGCACGAGAUUCUUAAUCUCAGGGUUGUGGGUUCAAGCCCCACGUUGGGCA
RNAcentral lists this transfer RNA (74 nucleotides) under Podarcis lilfordi (Lilford's wall lizard). RNAcentral's name for it is "tRNA.Lys". The stretch from base 9 to 66 matches the Rfam family "tRNA", at positions 8 to 63 of the family's 71-position model. Rfam says of the family: Transfer RNA (tRNA) molecules are approximately 80 nucleotides in length. Their secondary structure includes four short double-helical elements and three loops (D, anti-codon, and T loops). The record is from RNAcentral. Lineage: Eukaryota; Metazoa; Chordata; Lepidosauria; Squamata; Lacertidae.